UAAUACAUGCAAGUCGAACGCGCAGCGAAAGGUGCUUGCACCUUUCAAGCGAGUGGCGAACGGGUGAGUAACACGUGGAUAACCUGCCUCAAGGCUGGGGAUAACAUUUGGAAACAGAUGCUAAUACCGAAUAAAACUUAGUAUCGCAUGAUACAAAGUUGAAAGGCGCUACGGCGUCACCUAGAGAUGGGUCCGCGGUGCAUUAGUUAGUUGGUGGGGUAAAGGCCUACCAAGACAAUGAUGCAUAGCCGAGUUGAGAGACUGAUCGGCCACAUUGGGACUGAGACACGGCCCAAACUCCUACGGGAGGCUGCAGUAGGGAAUCUUCCACAAUGGGCGAAAGCCUGAUGGAGCAACGCCGCGUGUGUGAUGAAGGCUUUAGGGUCGUAAAGCACUGUUGUAUGGGAAGAAAUGCUAGAAUAGGGAAUGAUUCUAGUUCGACGGUACCAUACCAGAAAGGGACGGCUAAAUACGUGCCAGCAGCCGCGGUAAUACGUAUGUCCCGAGCGUUAUCCGGAUUUAUUGGGCGUAAAGCGAGCGCAGACGGUUGAUUAAGUCUGAUGUGAAAGCCCGGAGCUCAACUCCGGAAUGGCAUUGGAAACUGGUUAACUUGAGUGUUGUAGAGGUAAGUGGAACUCCAUGUGUAGCGGUGGAAUGCGUAGAUAUAUGGAAGAACACCAGUGGCGAAGGCGGCUUACUGGACAACAACUGACGUUGAGGCUCGAAAGUGUGGGUAG
RNAcentral lists this ribosomal RNA (737 nucleotides) under Leuconostoc lactis. RNAcentral describes it as "bacterial SSU rRNA". It matches the Rfam family "Bacterial small subunit ribosomal RNA", at positions 49 to 768 of the family's 1533-position model. Lineage: Bacteria; Bacillati; Bacillota; Bacilli; Lactobacillales; Lactobacillaceae. The record is from RNAcentral.